Molecule: long non-coding RNA, 956 nt
Filed under: Rattus norvegicus (Norway rat)
Lineage: Eukaryota; Metazoa; Chordata; Mammalia; Rodentia; Muridae
Description: long non-coding RNA NONRATT003957
Source: RNAcentral
CCUUCGACUUCCUUAUCUGUUCUUAGCAUGACUGUACUUUUUCUAGGAUUGUGUUUUUAAGAUUGGCUUUGUUUAUAAUGGAUUAGUCAUAAAUAGUUUUUCAAGUUACUGAUUUUACAAAUGACUUUAGUUACUUUAAUGCAUUAAAUAUAAUUAUUGCUUCUUUUUGGAGGUAAAAGUAAUAUUACUUAGUCACAUAGUAAGAGCAGUUGAUUAAUUUUUUUGUGCAGUGUUAGUGCAAAUAAUUAGAGUAAAAGGUGAACAUACUAUAUUAUUUGGAUAAUGAUUUAAAUUCAGAUUUGCCUAGAAAAUACCUUUCUCAAUAUCUCUCAACAAUGUGUUUCUUUAUGUUAUGAUUGUUUAUGAAAAGGAAAUGGUCUGGUUGUGCUAGACAGACAGUUGUAACUCAAGAUAACAUAACUUUGGAUUGUCUAAGUGAUUGUUUGUUUUAACCCCUUCUCCUGGAAACUCUUUGAAAGAUGGAAUGAAUUAAUGAGACAAAAGAGAGAACUGAUACCUGGGAAGUCACUGUCCUUAGGUGUGUGUUUAUAGUCCUAAGGGGAAGAGGUUUUAGAAGUCAUUUGAUAACUAGCAAGACCAUAUGUGGAUAUGUGAGAAGUGAGUCAUGAACAUGAUUGUAUCAUUUUAGACUUAAAAUAGUCACUGUUUUAUUAACAUAUGGUGUUAUGAAAAUUUUCUCUAUAUGAAGAGUAAGUGGGUAAUUAAGAGCCCAAAAAUCGGGGGUUGGAGAGAGCUAGCUCAGCUGUUAAGAGCACUGAAUGUUCAUCUAGAGAUCCUGAAUUCAGUUCCCAGCAACCACACGGUGGCUCACAACCAUUUGUAAUGAGAUCUGAUGUCUUCUUCUAGUGUGUCUGAAGACAGCUCCAAUGUACUCAUAUAAAUAAAAUAAGACCUAGGGAGCCAAUGAGUGUUUAAAAAAAAAAAGUCCAAAUAUC